AGCCUGUUGACGGUUGUGCUCCUUUUGUAUUAGUAUAUGAAUUAUAAAUAAAUAAAAGUUAUUUUGAUAUUUUUUAUCACAAAUUAUUUUAUCUUCUAAUGAACUCUUGUAUUGUGGUGAAGUCCUUAGGACUAUUUAGACUCGACAAAGGAGGAUGUGUCAUUUAGUCCUUAAACCUGUUCGCGACCAAAUGAUACAUUGUUACCAAGGAUGACAACGUUUAUCAAGCAUAGGUCGUUGUGUGCCAUAUGGGUUGGUUGUCUCCUUAACCAAGGAGUGUGGAGAUAUUGGUAUGGCAUACAGAUGAGAUGCUCAGGUACAUCUGCACUGAACGUGACCAACUUCGAAACUAUUUCUGCUGUUAAGAUUUACUCCGAUGGGAUAUGGGUAUAACUGUCCCUCCGACCUGAGACCGCCACAGUGACUUGCAACUUGCAAGCAACUCACUGUACUUAGGCACUGGACAACCUGAAUUUCUAAUUCAGUGAUGAAAGGAUGCUGGGUGUAGUCAAGUACUUGAUUUGUCGGUACGUGUGUCAAGAUGGGAUUAACCACUCCAGUUCAGAAGCUAUGUACAGUCGUAUUUUAAUUUAACAAAACCUUGACUAGGAUAGUCCUAGUGAGG
RNAcentral lists this long non-coding RNA (625 nucleotides) under Elaeis guineensis (African oil palm). RNAcentral's name for it is "long non-coding RNA (EGUI_LNC064052)". The record is from RNAcentral. Lineage: Eukaryota; Viridiplantae; Streptophyta; Magnoliopsida; Arecales; Arecaceae.